GAACGCACCUUGCGCCCUUUGGCCAUUCCGAAGGGCAUGCCUGUUUGAGUAUCAUGAACACCUCAACUCUCAUGGCUUGCCAUGAUGAGCUUGGACUUUGGGGGUCUUGUCGGCCUGCGGUCGGCUCCUCUCAAAUGGAUCAGCUUGCCAGUGUUUGGUGGCGUCACAGGUGUGAUAACUAUCUGCGCUUGUGGUUUCCCAUCAGAUAACCUUCAGCGAUGGAGGUUCGCUGGGGCUCAUAAAUGUCUCUCCUAAGUGAGGACAGCCCUUUGAACGUUUGACCUCAAAUCAGGUAGGACUACCCGCUGAACUUAAG
This 316-nucleotide unclassified non-coding RNA is filed under the name uncultured Thelephoraceae. Its description in RNAcentral is "sequence contains 5.8S rRNA gene". Lineage: Eukaryota; Fungi; Basidiomycota; Agaricomycetes; Thelephorales; Thelephoraceae. The record is from RNAcentral.